CGCCGUGAGACGGAAUCUGAAGGAAGUCAUAGGCAAACAUCUGACCUGACGGACAGAAAUCUGAUAUAAGGCUUUACAUGGGGAUUAGAUGGCCAAUGGCAUCAAAGUCCUAUAACUAUCCGAAACCAUGUGUAGUAAAUCAGGCAGGUAUAAGAUGGAAAGA
Molecule: non-coding RNA, 163 nt
Filed under: human gut metagenome
Source: RNAcentral